AUUGAACGCUGGCGGCAGGCCUAACACAUGCAAGUCGAACGGUAACAGGAAGAAGCUUGCUUCUUUGCUGACGAGUGGCGGACGGGUGAGUAAUGUCUGGGAAACUGCCUGAUGGAGGGGGAUAACUACUGGAAACGGUAGCUAAUACCGCAUUACGUCGCAAGACCAGAGAGGGGGACCUUCGGGCCUCUUGCUCUCGGUUGAGCCCAGCAGGGAAUAGCUAGUGGGUGGGGUAACGGCUCACCUGGGCGACGAUCACUAGCCGGUCUGAGAGGAUGACCAGCAACACUGGAACGAAGACACGGUCCAGACUCCUACGGGAGGCAGCAGUGGGGAAUUUUGCACAAUGGGCGCAAGCCUGAUGCAGCCAUGCCGCGUGGAUGAAGAAGGCCUUCGGGUUGUAAAGUACUUUCAGCGGGAAGGAAGGGAGUAAAGUUAAUACCUUGACUCAUUGACGUUACCCGCAGAAGAAGCACCGGCUAACUCCGUG
RNAcentral lists this ribosomal RNA (490 nucleotides) under uncultured bacterium. RNAcentral's name for it is "partial 16S ribosomal RNA". It matches the Rfam family "Bacterial small subunit ribosomal RNA", at positions 30 to 507 of the family's 1533-position model. The record is from RNAcentral.